RNAcentral lists this ribosomal RNA (509 nucleotides) under uncultured bacterium. RNAcentral describes it as "bacterial SSU rRNA". It matches the Rfam family "Bacterial small subunit ribosomal RNA", at positions 21 to 518 of the family's 1533-position model. The record is from RNAcentral.
GGCUCAGAUUGAACGCUGGCGGCAGGCCUAACACAUGCAAGUCGAACGGUAACAGGAAGCAGCUUGCUGCUUUGCUGACGAGUGGCGGACGGGUGAGUAAUGUCUGGGAAACUGCCUGAUGGAGGGGGAUAACUACUGGAAACGGUAGCUAAUACCGCAUAACGUCGCAAGACCAAAGAGGGGGACCUUCGGGCCUCUUGCCAUCAGAUGUGCCCAGAUGGGAUUAGCUUGUUGGUGGGGUAACGGCUCACCAAGGCGACGAUCCCUAGCUGGUCUGAGAGGAUGACCAGCCACACUGGAACUGAGACACGGUCCAGACUCCUACGGGAGGCAGCAGUGGGGAAUAUUGCACAAUGGGCGCAAGCCUGAUGCAGCCAUGCCGCCGUGUAUGAAGAAGGCCUUCGGGUUGUAAAGUACUUUCAGCGGGGAGGAAGGUGUUGUGGUUAAUAACCACAGCAAUUGACGUUACCCGCAGAAGAAGCACCGGCUAACUCCGUGCCAGCCGCCGC